UUUUUCAUAUGAAUCAUAUCCUUUUUGUAUUUAAAUUAUAAUGGAUGGAUGGUGUUUGUGAAAAAAUGUAAGGAUCCCAAGUUUUGCAUGCCCUCAUAGGAGUGACAAUUUGAUGUUAUUUAAGGAUAAAUAACUAAUCAAGCACAUCAGAUUGGAAUUCAGUGGUGAGAUAAGGAGAUUCCAAUCACAAGGCAAAUUAGUUUCCAUAACAAAUUACAUCCCAGCAUAUAAUCCAGUCACAUCCCAGCACAUAGUCCAGUCACAUCAAAGAGUGGCAGAGUCAUUAAC
Molecule: unclassified non-coding RNA, 288 nt
Filed under: Hevea brasiliensis (rubber tree)
Lineage: Eukaryota; Viridiplantae; Streptophyta; Magnoliopsida; Malpighiales; Euphorbiaceae
Source: RNAcentral